GGAGUUAGCCGGUGCUUCUUCUGUGAGUGAUGUCCUUCCUGCCGGUUAUUGACCCGCAGGCCUUCUUCCUCACUGAAAGUGCUUUACAACCCGAAGGCCUUCUUCACACACGCGGCAUGGCUGGAUCAGGGUUGCCCCCAUUGUCCAAUAUUCCCCACUGCUGCCUCCCGUAGGAGUCUGGGCCGUGUCUCAGUCCCAGUGUGGCUGAUCAUCCUCUCAGACCAGCUACGGAUCGUCGCCUUGGUGAGCCGUUACCUCACCAACCAGCUAAUCCGACAUAGGCUCAUCCGAUAGCGCGAGGCCCGAAGGUCCCCCGCUUUCCCCCGUAGGGCGUAUGAGGUAUUAGCCUGGGUUUCCCCAGGUUAUCCCCCACUACCGGGCAGAUUCCUAUGCAUUACUCACCCGUCCGCCGCUCGCCACCAGGGAGCAAGCUCCCCGUGCUGCCGCUCGACUUGCAUGUGUUAGGCCUGCCGCCAGCGUUCAAUCUGAGCCAGAAUCGAACCCUGA
RNAcentral lists this ribosomal RNA (507 nucleotides) under uncultured bacterium. RNAcentral describes it as "partial 16S ribosomal RNA". The record is from RNAcentral.